RNAcentral lists this unclassified non-coding RNA (377 nucleotides) under uncultured Chlamydiales bacterium. Its description in RNAcentral is "contains 16S-23S intergenic spacer region". The record is from RNAcentral. Lineage: Bacteria; Pseudomonadati; Chlamydiota; Chlamydiia; Chlamydiales.
UCCUGGUUAACCCAGGCAGUCUCACUAGAGUCCCCACCUUCCGUGUUGGCAACUAAUGAUAAGGGUUGCGCUCGUUGCGGGACUUAACCCAACACCUCACGGCACGAGCUGACGACAGCCAUGCAGCACCUAUGCAAAUGUCCUUGCGGAUCUCUAUAUCUCUAUAGUCAUCAUCUGCACUUCAAGCCCAGGUAAGGUUCUUCGCGUUGCAUCGAAUUAAACCACAUGCUCCACUGCUUGUGCGGGCCCCCGUCAAUUCUUUUGAGUUUCACCCUUGCGAGCGUACUCCUCAGGCGGUGUACUUAUCGCGUUAGCUUCGACACAGCCAGGGUUGAGCCCAACUACAUCAAGUACACAUCGUUUACGGCAAGGACUAC